Molecule: ribosomal RNA, 1406 nt
Filed under: Chromohalobacter canadensis
Lineage: Bacteria; Pseudomonadati; Pseudomonadota; Gammaproteobacteria; Oceanospirillales; Halomonadaceae
Description: bacterial SSU rRNA
Rfam family: Bacterial small subunit ribosomal RNA
Source: RNAcentral
UGCAAGUCGAGCGGAACGAUCCUAGCUUGCUAGGAGGCGUCGAGCGGCGGACGGGUGAGUAAUGCAUAGGAAUCUACCCAGUCGUGGGGGAUAACCUGAGGAAACUCAGGCUAAUACCGCAUACGUCCUACGGGAGAAAGCGGGGGCUCUUCGGACCUCGCGCGAUUGGAUGAGCCUAUGUCGGAUUAGCUUGUUGGUAAGGUAACGGCUUACCAAGGCGACGAUCCGUAGCUGGUCUGAGAGGAUGAUCAGCCACACCGGGACUGAGACACGGCCCGGACUCCUACGGGAGGCAGCAGUGGGGAAUAUUGGACAAUGGGCGAAAGCCUGAUCCAGCCAUGCCGCGUGUGUGAAGAAGGCUUUCGGGUUGUAAAGCACUUUCAGCGAGGAAGAAAGCGUGCCGGCCAAUACCCGGUACGGACGACAUCACUCGCAGAAGAAGCACCGGCUAACUCCGUGCCAGCAGCCGCGGUAAUACGGAGGGUGCAAGCGUUAAUCGGAAUUACUGGGCGUAAAGCGCGCGUAGGCGGCGUGUCACGCCGGGUGUGAAAGCCCCGGGCUCAACCUGGGAACGGCAUCCGGAACGGGCAGGCUAGAGUGCAGGAGAGGAAGGUAGAAUUCCCGGUGUAGCGGUGAAAUGCGUAGAGAUCGGGAGGAAUACCAGUGGCGAAGGCGGCCUUCUGGACUGACACUGACGCUGAGGUGCGAAAGCGUGGGUAGCAAACAGGAUUAGAUACCCUGGUAGUCCACGCCGUAAACGAUGUCGACUAGCCGUUGGGGUCCCUUGAGGACUUAGUGGGCGCAGUUAACGCGAUAAGUCGACCGCCUGGGGGAGUACGGCCGCAAGGUUAAAACUCAAAUGAAUUGACGGGGGCCCGCACAAGCGGUGGAGCAUGUGGUUUAAUUCGAUGCAACGCGAAGAACCUUACCUACCCUUGACAUCCUGCGAACCCGGAAGAGAUUCCGGGGUGCCUUCGGGAGCGCAGAGACAGGUGCUGCAUGGCUGUCGUCAGCUCGUGUUGUGAAAUGUUGGGUUAAGUCCCGUAACGAGCGCAACCCUUGUCCCUAUUUGCCAGCGAUUCGGUCGGGAACUCUAGGGAGACUGCCGGUGACAAACCGGAGGAAGGUGGGGACGACGUCAAGUCAUCAUGGCCCUUACGGGUAGGGCUACACACGUGCUACAAUGGCCGGUACAAAGGGUUGCGAAAGCGCGAGCUGAAGCUAAUCCCGAAAAGCCGGUCUCAGUCCGGAUCGGAGUCUGCAACUCGACUCCGCGAAGUCGGAAUCGCUAGUAAUCGUGCAUCAGAAUGGCACGGUGAAUACGUUCCCGGGCCUUGUACACACCGCCCGUCACACCAUGGAAGUGGACUGCACCAGAAGUGGUUAGCUUAACCCUCGGGAGAGCG